RNAcentral lists this ribosomal RNA (465 nucleotides) under uncultured bacterium. RNAcentral describes it as "partial 16S ribosomal RNA". It matches the Rfam family "Bacterial small subunit ribosomal RNA", at positions 339 to 795 of the family's 1533-position model. The record is from RNAcentral.
CUACGGGACGCACCAGUGGGGAAUAUUGGACAAUGGGGGAAACCCUGAUCCAGCAAUGCCGCGUGUGUGAAGAAGGCCUGCGGGUUGUAAAGCACUUUCGGUUGGGAGGACUGCUUCUAGCACUAAUAUUGUUGGAAGUUGACGUUACCUUCAGAAGAAGCACCGGCUAACUCCGUGCCAGCGGCCGCGGUAAUACGGCGGGUGCAAGCGUUAAUCGGAAUUACUGGGCGUAAAGCGCGCGUAGGCGGCUAGAUCAGUCGGGUGUGAAAGCCCCGGGCUUAACCUGGGAACUGCAUCCGAUACUGUCUAGCUUGAGUACAGGAGAGGAGAGUGGAAUUCCACAUGUAGCGGUGAAAUGCGUAGAUAUGUGGAGGAACACCAAUGGCGAAGGCAGCUCUCUGGCCUGAUACUGACGCUGAGGUGCGAAAGCGUGGGGAGCAAACAGGAUUAGAUACCCUCGUAGUC